Globicephala melas (long-finned pilot whale) is the source of this 1006-nucleotide long non-coding RNA. RefSeq lists it as uncharacterized. The record is from RefSeq and is a predicted model, not a curated record. Lineage: Eukaryota; Metazoa; Chordata; Mammalia; Artiodactyla; Delphinidae.
UUUUAUAACAUUUUCAAGUGGGCUUAUCAUAAUCCAUAAAAGACUGAGAAUUGUAUUAGCUUUCAAUUCUGAUACUUUUGCAAAAAAUUUACUAUAUUGUAGUGCUUUCUAUGCCAACAGAGAAACUUUGAAGUAUUGUGAAAACUGUCUCACAACCCCUUGUGUUUCUCUGCAGGACUCUGCCGUGCCUUUCUCUCAGUGAUGAAUGCCUGGGUCCACUUCUUCAUGUGUUACGGGGAGCACAGCAGUGACGUACCUCCUUCUUAGGAGCUAUCACCCCCGGGGCAGAGAUGGGAUUAGGUUGAUGGGACUCUUAUACCAUGGAUGAAUAGGAUUUGAGAUGUUUUUCCACCAGGGUCUGAUGGCUUGCAACAAAAUCAAGUCACUAGGCCUUUUCUGCAUGCAGAGAACCUUCUGGGACAUAAAGGCCUUUGCCUUGAGUAGGAAGCAGGAGAACAGAAGUCGUCCACAGUGUCAGGAUUUCACUGAGAGUUUGCUGGGGCUCAAGAGACCUGAGAGCAUAAUGGUCAGUGGAGAGCCUCAUUCUUCCCUUUCCUUUCUCUGGCAGUGCCCUCCACACACUCAGGAGAGACAGCUACACAGUCUGCAUGACAACUUCUAGAAAGAAGUGGGAGCAGCAAGGGUCUCAACAGGGGGCUAAGACCAAAGGGUGAAGACAUGCAGGCUCCAGUCAAUGAGGGAGAGGAAGGAGGAAAUAGAGAGCUCCCAGCUUUGAUGCUUGUAGGGAUUAUUGAAUUAGGGGCUCAAAGUCUGGCAGGAGGAAGACCAGCAGCAACUGACUGGGCAGACUUCCCAGGACGAUGCAGCCACUCCUGCUCCUGGUGGUCCUUCUCCUGCCUCCCAGGGCUAGGGCAGGGCAGAUCAUCGGAGGCCAAGAGGCCAGGCCCCAUUCCCACCCUUACAUGGCAUAUAUUCAGAUCCAGAGACCAGGGUAUCUGACCACUUGUGGGGGGUUUCUGGUGCGAGAAGACUUUGUGAUGACAGC